RNAcentral lists this ribosomal RNA (450 nucleotides) under uncultured bacterium. Its description in RNAcentral is "partial 16S ribosomal RNA". It matches the Rfam family "Bacterial small subunit ribosomal RNA", at positions 354 to 796 of the family's 1533-position model. The record is from RNAcentral.
GUGGGGAAUAUUGGACAAUGGGCGAAAGCCUGAUCCAGCCAUGCCGCGUGUGUGAAGAAGGUCUUCGGAUUGUAAAGCACUUUAAGUUGGGAGGAAGGGCAGUAAGUUAAUACCUUGCUGUUUUGACGUUACCGACAGAAUAAGCACCGGCUAACUUCGUGCCAGCAGCCGCGGUAAUACGAAGGGUGCAAGCGUUAAUCGGAAUUACUGGGCGUAAAGCGCGCGUAGGUGGGUUUGUAAGUUGGAGGUGAAAUCCCCGGGCUCAACCUGGGAACUGCCUCCAAAACUGCAUGACUAGAGUACGGUAGAGGGUAGUGGAAUUUCCUGUGUAGCGGUGAAAUGCGUAGAUAUAGGAAGGAACACCAGUGGCGAAGGCGACUACCUGGACUGAUACUGACACUGAGGUGCGAAAGCGUGCGGAGCAAACAGGAUUAGAAACCCGAGUAGUCC